RNAcentral lists this ribosomal RNA (497 nucleotides) under uncultured bacterium. Its description in RNAcentral is "partial 16S ribosomal RNA". It matches the Rfam family "Bacterial small subunit ribosomal RNA", at positions 28 to 507 of the family's 1533-position model. The record is from RNAcentral.
GAUGAACGCUGGCGGCGUGCCUAAUACAUGCAAGUCGAGCGAACGGACGAGAAGCUUGCUUCUCUGAUGUUAGCGGCGGACGGGUGAGUAACACGUGGAUAACCUACCUAUAAGACUGGGAUAACUUCGGGAAACCGUAGCUAAUACCGGAUAAUAUUUUGAACCGCAUGGUUCAAAAGUGAAAGACGGUCUUGCUGUCACUUAUAGAUGGAUCCGCGCUGCAUUAGCUAGUUGGUAAGGUAACGGCUUACCACGGCAACGAUGCAUAGCCGACCUGAGAGGGUGAUCGGCCACACUGGAACUGAGACACGGUCCAGACUCCUACGGGAGGCAGCAGCAGGGAAUCUUCCGCAAUGGGCGAAAGCCUGACGGAGCAACGCCGCGUGAGUGAUGAAGGUCUUCGGAUCGUAAAACUCCGUUAUUAGGGAAGAACAUAUGUGUAAGUAACUGUGCACAUCUUGACGGUACCUAAUCAGAAAGCCACGGCUAACUACGUG